Long non-coding RNA from Hibiscus syriacus, 273 nucleotides. RefSeq lists it as uncharacterized. The transcript has 3 exons. The record is from RefSeq and is a predicted model, not a curated record. Lineage: Eukaryota; Viridiplantae; Streptophyta; Magnoliopsida; Malvales; Malvaceae.
CCAUCUGUGAGUUUUAUGCUAGGGACACAAAGAAACAUACAUGUCCUAUCCUGUUGGAUGCUUAUAGGGGGUUGAAGGGAGUUUCCAAGGAUGAAGAAGCCCUCUGUUUGGAUGCCACGUGUUAUGGAAAUGUUGCUAGGUUCAUCAAUCAUAGGUGCUUAGAUGCAAACUUGAUUGAGAUUCCGGUUGAAGUGGAGACUCCAUAUCUUCAUUACUAUCACCUAGCCUUCUUCACAGCAAGAGAAGUUGAUGCGCUUGAAGAGUUAACAUGGG